This 253-nucleotide ribosomal RNA is filed under the name uncultured bacterium. RNAcentral's name for it is "partial 16S ribosomal RNA". It matches the Rfam family "Bacterial small subunit ribosomal RNA", at positions 524 to 776 of the family's 1533-position model. The record is from RNAcentral.
UACGUAGGUGGCGAGCGUUGUCCGGAUUUACUGGGCGUAAAGGGAGCGUAGGCGGACUUUUAAGUGAGAUGUGAAAUACUCGGGCUCAACUUGAGUGCUGCAUUUCAAACUGGAAGUCUAGAGUGCAGGAGAGGAGAAUGGAAUUCCUAGUGUAGCGGUGAAAUGCGUAGAGAUUAGGAAGAACACCAGUGGCGAAGGCGAUUCUCUGGACUGUAACUGACGCUGAGGCUCGGAAGCGUGGGGAGCAAACAGG